Molecule: long non-coding RNA, 625 nt
Organism: Parus major (Great Tit)
Lineage: Eukaryota; Metazoa; Chordata; Aves; Passeriformes; Paridae
Exons: 3
Source: RefSeq, a predicted model, not a curated record
CACAAACACAAUGCUGUCCACGUCUGGAUGUGCCACAGAGGAGAUGAGCUGAGUGCCCAGUGAACUUUAUUGCUGCAGAGAACCUGACAGAACUCAUCCCACCUUGCAGCUGACACUUUCCUGUGGCGGGGACAGGACAAGGGCCCAGAUCUUCAGACAGGAGGUCUGGAGGUUCUGAACACUGCAAUGUUUUGAAAUCAAUUUGCCAGCUGUGCCAAGGCAGAUCAACGUUCAGCAAGUGAUUUACAGGUGUGCCAGCCACUGUCAGCCAAAGCACAGUGCUCUGGGAUUCAAACAGCACUGAAGAGUCCACCUGCAGGGUGCCACAGCCUCUGCAGCUGCCUCAGGUUGUGCUGCUGCUGUUGUGUGUCUGAGUCCCAGCGCUGGAAAUGAAAAGGUUCAGAGAAUCCUGACACCAAGGAGAGGCACAAAGCUGCACUCUGCUCCUGACAGCUUCUCUUUACACCACAGCUUUUCCUCUGAGCAUGUUCCAGUGUCUCUGCACUCCCAGUCCACCUGCAGCAGCCAGGGCCAGGCUCUCAUAGCCUGGCUCUCCUGCUGGGAGCCUCUCAGAGCACGAGCCACCUCCCUUCCAGCAGAUCGCAGGUGUUCUCCACAUGGCGUG